Molecule: transfer RNA, 87 nt
Filed under: Granulicella aggregans
Lineage: Bacteria; Pseudomonadati; Acidobacteriota; Terriglobia; Terriglobales; Acidobacteriaceae
Description: tRNA-Leu
Rfam family: tRNA
About the family: Transfer RNA (tRNA) molecules are approximately 80 nucleotides in length.
Source: RNAcentral
GCCGGGAUGGCGGAACAGGCAGACGCAGCGGACUCAAAAUCCGCCGAGGGCAACCUCGUGGGGGUUCGACCCCCCCUCCCGGCACCA